Molecule: transfer RNA, 73 nt
Filed under: Parcubacteria group bacterium ADurb.Bin247
Lineage: Bacteria
Description: tRNA-Arg
Rfam family: tRNA
About the family: Transfer RNA (tRNA) molecules are approximately 80 nucleotides in length.
Source: RNAcentral
GCUCCCGUAGUUUAACGGAUAAAAUAAGGGAUUGCGGAUCCCUUGAUAUAGGUUCGAUUCCUAUCGGGAGCAC